GGAUGCGAUCAUACCAGCACUAAAGCACCGGAUCCCAUCAAAACUCCGAAGUUAAGCGUGCUUGGGCGAGAGUAGUACUAGGAUGGGUGACCUCUUGGGAAGUCCUCAUGUUGCAUUCC
RNAcentral lists this ribosomal RNA (119 nucleotides) under Triticum aestivum (bread wheat). Lineage: Eukaryota; Viridiplantae; Streptophyta; Magnoliopsida; Poales; Poaceae. RNAcentral also lists the same sequence under 1 other name. The record is from RNAcentral.